GACGAACGCUGACGGCGUGCUUAACACAUGCAAGUCGAGCGGUAAGGCCCUUUCGGGGGUACACGAGCGGCGAACGGGUGAGUAACACGUGGGUGACCUGCCCUUAGCUCUGGGAUAAGCCUGGGAAACUGGGUCUAAUACCGGAUAUGACUCCAUAACGCAUGUUGUGGGGUGGAAAGCCUUGUGCGGCUAGGGAUGGGCCCGCGGCCUAUCAGCUUGUUGGUGGGGUGAUGGCCACCAAGGCGACGACGGGUAGCCGGCCUGAGAGGGCGACCGGCCACACUGGGACUGAGACACGGCCCAGACUCCUACGGGAGGCAGCAGUGGGGAAUCUUGCGCAAUGGGCGAAAGCCUGACGCAGCGACGCCGCGU
RNAcentral lists this ribosomal RNA (372 nucleotides) under uncultured bacterium. RNAcentral describes it as "bacterial SSU rRNA". It matches the Rfam family "Bacterial small subunit ribosomal RNA", at positions 28 to 402 of the family's 1533-position model. The record is from RNAcentral.